RNAcentral lists this ribosomal RNA (1701 nucleotides) under Escherichia coli. RNAcentral describes it as "partial 23S ribosomal RNA". It matches the Rfam family "Bacterial large subunit ribosomal RNA", at positions 1 to 1744 of the family's 2925-position model. The record is from RNAcentral. Lineage: Bacteria; Pseudomonadati; Pseudomonadota; Gammaproteobacteria; Enterobacterales; Enterobacteriaceae.
GGUUAAGCGACUAAGCGUACACGGUGGAUGCCCUGGCAGUCAGAGGCGAUGAAGGACGUGCUAAUCUGCGAUAAGCGUCGGUAAGGUGAUAUGAACCGUUAUAACCGGCGAUUUCCGAAUGGGGAAACCCAGUGUGUUUCGACACACUAUCAUUAACUGAAUCCAUAGGUUAAUGAGGCGAACCGGGGGAACUGAAACAUCUAAGUACCCCGAGGAAAAGAAAUCAACCGAGAUUCUCCCAGUAGCGGCGAGCGAACGGGGAGCAGCCCAGAGCCUGAAUCAGUGUGUGUGUUAGUGGAAGCGUCUGGAAAGGCGCGCGAUACAGGGUGACAGCCCCGUACACAAAAAUGCACAUGCUGUGAGCUCGAUGAGUAGGGCGGGACACGUGGUAUCCUGUCUGAAUAUGGGGGGACCAUCCUCCAAGGCUAAAUACUCCUGACUGACCGAUAGUGAACCAGUACCGUGAGGGAAAGGCGAAAAGAACCCCGGCGAGGGGAGUGAAAAAGAACCUGAAACCGUGUACGUACAAGCAGUGGGAGCACGCUUAGGCGUGUGACUGCGUACCUUUUGUAUAAUGGGUCAGCGACUUAUAUUCUGUAGCAAGGUUAACCGAAUAGGGGAGCCGAAGGGAAACCGAGUCUUAACUGGGCGUUAAGUUGCAGGGUAUAGACCCGAAACCCGGUGAUCUAGCCAUGGGCAGGUUGAAGGUUGGGUAACACUAACUGGAGGACCGAACCGACUAAUGUUGAAAAAUUAGCGGAUGACUUGUGGCUGGGGGUGAAAGGCCAAUCAAACCGGGAGAUAGCUGGUUCUCCCCGAAAGCUAUUUAGGUAGCGCCUCGUGAAUUCAUCUCCGGGGGUAGAGCACUGUUUCGGCAAGGGGGUCAUCCCGACUUACCAACCCGAUGCAAACUGCGAAUACCGGAGAAUGUUAUCACGGGAGACACACGGCGGGUGCUAACGUCCGUCGUGAAGAGGGAAACAACCCAGACCGCCAGCUAAGGUCCCAAAGUCAUGGUUAAGUGGGAAACGAUGUGGGAAGGCCCAGACAGCCAGGAUGUUGGCUUAGAAGCAGCCAUCAUUUAAAGAAAGCGUAAUAGCUCACUGGUCGAGUCGGCCUGCGCGGAAGAUGUAACGGGGCUAAACCAUGCACCGAAGCUGCGGCAGCGACGCUGAUGCGUUGUUGGGUAGGGGAGCGUUCUGUAAGCCUGCGAAGGUGUGCUGUGAGGCAUGCUGGAGGUAUCAGAAGUGCGAAUGCUGACAUAAGUAACGAUAAAGCGGGUGAAAAGCCCGCUCGCCGGAAGACCAAGGGUUCCUGUCCAACGUUAAUCGGGGCAGGGUGAGUCGACCCCUAAGGCGAGGCCGAAAGGCGUAGUCGAUGGGAAACAGGUUAAUAUUCCUGUACUUGGUGUUACUGCGAAGGGGGGACGGAGAAGGCUAUGUUGGCCGGGCGACGGUUGUCCCGGUUUAAGCGUGUAGGCUGGUUUUCCAGGCAAAUCCGGAAAAUCAAGGCUGAGGCGUGAUGACGAGGCACUACGGUGCUGAAGCAACAAAUGCCCUGCUUCCAGGAAAAGCCUCUAAGCAUCAGGUAACAUCAAAUCGUACCCCAAACCGACACAGGUGGUCAGGUAGAGAAUACCAAGGCGCUUGAGAGAACUCGGGUGAAGGAACUAGGCAAAAUGGUGCCGUAACUUCGGGAGAA